This 29-nucleotide small RNA is filed under the name Bombyx mori (domestic silkworm). RNAcentral describes it as "piRNA piR-bmo-2013447". Lineage: Eukaryota; Metazoa; Arthropoda; Insecta; Lepidoptera; Bombycidae. The record is from RNAcentral.
UUAAUGUGUGACAAUACUUAUGACCUGAC